GCGCAGCAGGCGCGAAUACUUUACAAUGUGCGAAAGCACGAUAAGGGAACUCUGAGUGCCUCCUAAGGAGGCUGUUCAGGUGUCUAAAAAGCACCUGAAGGAAGGGCUGGGUAAGACCGGUGCCAGCCGCCGCGGUAACACCGGCAGCCCAAGUGGUAGCCACGUUUAUUGGGUCUAAAGCGUCCGUAGCCGGCUGGGUAAGUUCCUUGGGAAAUUUGGCUGCUUAACAGUCAAGCUUUCAGGGAAUACUGCUCGGCUUGGGACCGGGAGAGGUCAGAGGUACUCCAGGGGUAGGGGUGAAAUCCAUUAAUCCUUGGGGGACCACCGGUAGCGAAGGCGUCUGACCAGACCGGGUCCGACGGUGAGGGACGAAGGCUA
Molecule: ribosomal RNA, 378 nt
Filed under: uncultured microorganism
Description: bacterial SSU rRNA
Rfam family: Archaeal small subunit ribosomal RNA
Source: RNAcentral